CAAAUUUUAGUUUAAUUAAAAAAUUAUUCAUUUACAUUGAAUUGAUAUAAAUUUAUUUUUGUAAAUUUGA
RNAcentral lists this transfer RNA (70 nucleotides) under Janus sp. 1 GYN-2022e. RNAcentral describes it as "tRNA-Val". The record is from RNAcentral. Lineage: Eukaryota; Metazoa; Arthropoda; Insecta; Hymenoptera; Cephidae.